AACGGCGCUGGGGCUGUGGCCCGGGAAGGAGCUGGUCCGGAGGCAGCUCCAGGAGCUCCUGGAAAAUGCCCAGUACCAGGAAGAGGCCGAGCGGGAGGGUUUGGCUUCCUGCUUCGGGAUCUGCGCCCGGAGCCACCCGGAAGAAACGUUGGAAAAAUUGGAGGAAUUUGAGCAAUCCGACGCCUGCAGGAAAUCCCAGGGAUUCUUCAGCAUCUUCAAGGACCAGAACCAGCUGGAUGUGGAGC
Molecule: non-coding RNA, 245 nt
Organism: Lonchura striata (white-rumped munia)
Lineage: Eukaryota; Metazoa; Chordata; Aves; Passeriformes; Estrildidae
Source: RefSeq, a predicted model, not a curated record